CCUACGGGCGGCAGCAGUGGGGAAUAUUGGGCAAUGGGCGCAAGCCUGACCCAGCAACGCCGCGUGAAGGAAGAAGGCUUUCGGGUUGUAAACUUGUUUUCUCAGGGACGAAGCAAGUGACGGUACCGGAGGAAUAAGCCACGGCUAGCUACGUGCCAGCAGCCGCGGUAAUACGUAGGUGGCAAGCGUUAUCCGGAUUUACUGGGUGUAAAGGGCGUGUAGGCGGGAAAGCAAGUCAGAUGUGAAAACCAUGGGCUCAACCUGUGGCCUGCAUUUGAAACUGUUUUUCUUGAGUACUGGAGAGGCAGACGGAAUUCCUAGUGUAGCGGUGAAAUGCGUAGAUAUUAGGAGGAACACCAGUGGCGAAGGCGGUCUGCUGGACAGCAACUGACGCUGAGGCGCGAAAGCGUGGGGAGCAAACAGGAUUAGAUACCCGAGUAGUC
RNAcentral lists this ribosomal RNA (443 nucleotides) under uncultured bacterium. RNAcentral describes it as "partial 16S ribosomal RNA". It matches the Rfam family "Bacterial small subunit ribosomal RNA", at positions 338 to 795 of the family's 1533-position model. The record is from RNAcentral.